Non-coding RNA from Theobroma cacao (cacao), 350 nucleotides. The record is from RefSeq and is a predicted model, not a curated record. Lineage: Eukaryota; Viridiplantae; Streptophyta; Magnoliopsida; Malvales; Malvaceae.
CGGUUGUCAUGGGCUCGAUGGGAGUUUCGGGUCGUGACAAGAUACACAGCCAGACGGAUCAUUACUCUUGAAGAGGUCCCUUCCAUAUCUUUCAAUAGGUGUUGGUGAAAGAUAUCUGAUAGGUGUUACCUUCAAUUUGUGUCCAUUUCAUUGUCCGUGUCUAGUUAUAUGUUGUAUUUAUGAUGAGUUCAAAUACAUUGUCUUGUAGCCAAGAUUUGGCUUGUUGAAUAUUAAUUUUGCAAUGAUGGUGUUGGCUUACAUCGAGUUAUAAAUGUUGUCAUUUGACUAUGUUAUUGUGGUUGUGAUGAGCACAUGAGAUGUGUAUUGAAAUGUCAAUGUUAGAUGUGUUA